CACACGUCAUACGAAUGGAUGGUACAAAGGGUCGCCAACCCGCGAGGGGGAGCCAAUCCCAUAAAGCCAUUCGUAGUCCGGAUCGCAGUCUGCAACUCGACUGCGUGAAGUCGGAAUCGCUAGUAAUCGUGGAUCAGAAUGUCACGGUGAAUACCGGUUCCCGGGUCUU
Molecule: ribosomal RNA, 169 nt
Filed under: uncultured Polaromonas sp.
Lineage: Bacteria; Pseudomonadati; Pseudomonadota; Betaproteobacteria; Burkholderiales; Comamonadaceae
Description: partial 16S ribosomal RNA
Rfam family: Bacterial small subunit ribosomal RNA
Source: RNAcentral